This 81-nucleotide small nucleolar RNA is filed under the name Sapajus apella (tufted capuchin). RNAcentral's name for it is "Cebus apella (Tufted capuchin) Small nucleolar RNA SNORD115". It matches the Rfam family "Small nucleolar RNA SNORD115". From Rfam's summary of the family: HBII-52 is a member of the C/D class of snoRNAs, which contain the C (UGAUGA) and D (CUGA) box motifs. HBII-52 is encoded in a tandemly repeated array with another C/D snoRNA, HBII-85, in the Prader-Willi syndrome (PWS) region of chromosome 15. Lineage: Eukaryota; Metazoa; Chordata; Mammalia; Primates; Cebidae. RNAcentral also lists the same sequence under 1 other name. The record is from Rfam by way of RNAcentral.
GGGUCAAUGAUGAGAAACUUACAUGUCUUGAAGAGAAGUGAUGACUUAAAAAUCAUGCUCAAUAGGAUUACGCUGAGGCCC